This 222-nucleotide ribosomal RNA is filed under the name Clostridioides difficile. RNAcentral's name for it is "partial 23S ribosomal RNA". It matches the Rfam family "Bacterial large subunit ribosomal RNA", at positions 1769 to 1990 of the family's 2925-position model. The record is from RNAcentral. Lineage: Bacteria; Bacillati; Bacillota; Clostridia; Peptostreptococcales; Peptostreptococcaceae.
GCAGGUGGCCGCAGAGAAUAGGCCCAAGCGACUGUUUACCAAAAACAUAGGUUUCUGCUAAGUCGCAAGACGAUGUAUAGGAGCUGACGCCUGCCCGGUGCUGGAAGGUUAAGGGGAUCUGUUAGAGCAAUCGAAGCAGUGAACUUAAGCCCCAGUAAACGGCGGCCGUAACUAUAACGGUCCUAAGGUAGCGAAAUUCCUUGUCGGGUAAGUUCCGACCCG